CGGGUUAGAGCCAGGUAGGUUAGGCAUCUCAUUUGGGUUGAGAACUUGCUAUGUUCGAAUCGUAGUGACCCGA
RNAcentral lists this transfer RNA (73 nucleotides) under Arthonia rubella. Its description in RNAcentral is "tRNA-Pro". The record is from RNAcentral. Lineage: Eukaryota; Fungi; Ascomycota; Arthoniomycetes; Arthoniales; Arthoniaceae.